CCUGUCAUGGUCUGGGUGUGUGGCUGUAAAAUUCCAUUGAAGGUCUGGACCUCCCUGGUAUCCACCCAUGGGCAGGGCCUACAGCCUCCCUCACCUGAAGCUGAUUGAGGCAAUCAGGUUGGAGAUUUAAGCUGCUUGCUGACACUGCUUCCUCGCCAGUUCGUCAACUACCUUAUGUUGGUAACCAGGCCUCACGCUUCAUGUUCAUGAAUCUCAAGUGCUCUACUAACCUUGCAAUCUCGUGUUCUAGUUACUCCAGGAAAACUCCAUCACACCGGACCACUCAUCUUGGAAAUCUGGUUAACCCGCAAGCUCUCGGAAUCAUCUCCUUGCCUCACCUGCCUGCCCUCCUGCCCUUAUACCACCUCGGGACCUUCACCACUCAGGACAGCUGCCACACACCACCUAACCCACCUGGACCGCACCACCUCUCCCUCAACGCUUCCAUCUCCCACCUGCACAUACGUACCUAAUCACCAGCAGCUGCCGUUGCUCUCUUGGACCGGUCCCCUUGCUUAUCCCUCUCCCCUGGCCAAGACCCUCACGCCCCAUAUAUCAAGCCUUAAAUCAAGUACUAACGUGAACGUCAUUUUGGUGUUAGUCAAUAAACCUUUGUUAAACCCUUUA
This is a long non-coding RNA of Oreochromis niloticus (Nile tilapia), 627 nucleotides long. RefSeq lists it as uncharacterized. The record is from RefSeq and is a predicted model, not a curated record. The transcript is spliced from 2 exons. NCBI's taxonomy places the organism in Eukaryota, Metazoa, Chordata, Actinopteri, Cichliformes, Cichlidae.